Molecule: ribosomal RNA, 441 nt
Filed under: uncultured Bradyrhizobiaceae bacterium
Lineage: Bacteria; Pseudomonadati; Pseudomonadota; Alphaproteobacteria; Hyphomicrobiales; Nitrobacteraceae
Description: bacterial SSU rRNA
Rfam family: Bacterial small subunit ribosomal RNA
Source: RNAcentral
CUACGGGGGGCAGCAGUGGGGAAUAUUGGACAAUGGGGGCAACCCUGAUCCAGCCAUGCCGCGUGAGUGAUGAAGGCCCUAGGGUUGUAAAGCUCUUUUGUGCGGGAAGAUAAUGACGGUACCGCAAGAAUAAGCCCCGGCUAACUUCGUGCCAGCAGCCGCGGUAAUACGAAGGGGGCUAGCGUUGCUCGGAAUCACUGGGCGUAAAGGGUGCGUAGGCGGGUUUUUAAGUCAGGGGUGAAAUCCUGGAGCUCAACUCCAUAACUGCCUUUGAUACUGAAGAUCUUGAGUCCGGGAGAGGUGAGUGGAACUGCGAGUGUAGAGGUGAAAUUCGUAGAUAUUCGCAAGAACACCAGUGGCGAAGGCGGCUCACUGGCCCGGUACUGACGCUGAGGCACGAAAGCGUGGGGAGCAAACAGGAUUAGAUACCCCUGUAGUCCC